AUGCGUAUAGGGACGAUGAGAGGGAAAUUAAAGCUAGCGACAGGGGCUGGGGGCUAUGGCGAAAUCGCCGAAAUAUAUAUACCAAAUGUACUUGUGAUCCACCAAGUUGGGCGAUCAUGGAACACCAAGGAGGCAAUUGUAUUCACGGGAAGGGAUCUGCCUGGCUAUAAAAACUGGACACCUUCCGCCCCACUUGAUCAAGGAAAUUGGCCGGAUGCAAAAGUAGCUAUCCCGCUGAAAAAGAUGGGAAAAAGGGUUUAGUGGCCCUACA
Molecule: long non-coding RNA, 271 nt
Filed under: Oryza sativa Indica Group (long-grained rice)
Lineage: Eukaryota; Viridiplantae; Streptophyta; Magnoliopsida; Poales; Poaceae
Description: lncRNA OsMH63_02G025590
Source: RNAcentral